GCAGCCCGUUUCUGGUUGUAAAUUUCACCAAGGACCUCAUCCACGGAACGUUGGAGGAUGGAUGUGAAGAAAGCUGCUCACUACUUCCUGCUCAUUGUGUGUCUGUGUGCAUGUCUUCAGGGCAAGAGGCUGUUUGGAAGAUGCUGCCUGUUGCCGACGCGCAACUCUCUGGUUUUGCUGCCUUCGCCAUCUUCGGUCAUCCUCAGGGGGCGCUACUUUCUGAGGUGGCCUGUGGUUGAAGCAUCUCAACGGGUAAAGUUCCCCCCGACAGUACGGAAGAGUGCCGUUGAAUCCGAGAGGAAAGGUUGCAAAAUACCCGUUAAAAUGGGUUUCGUCAAAGUGGUGAAGAACAAGGCUUACUUCAAGAGAUAUGAAGUUAAAUUCAGACGAAGGAGAGAGGGCAAAACAGACUUCUAUGCCCGCAAACGCUUGGUUGUACAAGACAAGAACAAGUACAACACACCCAAGUAUCGUCUGAUCGUUCGAUUGUCCAACAGGGACAUCUGCUGCCAGAUUGCCUAUGCAAAAAUUGAAGGCGACCACAUUGUGUCUGCUGCGUACUCCCAUGAGCUGCCUAAAUAUGGCAUCCCUGUGGGUCUCACUAACUACGCUGCGGCGUACUGCACUGGGCUGCUGCUGGCCCGCAGGUUGCUGCACAAGUUUGGCAUGGAUCAGGUAUACGAGGGGCAGGUGGAGGUGACGGGCGACGAGUUCAAUGUGGAGAGCGUGGACGGUCGUCCGGGGGCCUUCACCUGUUACCUGGAUGCAGGCCUGGCCAGAACCACCACGGGAAACAAAGUGUUUGGAGCGCUGAAGGGGGCAGUGGACGGAGGACUGGCCAUUCCUCACAGCCUGAGACGCUUCCCCGGUUACGACACAGAGAGCAAAGAUUUUAAUGCCGAGGUGCAUCGGAAACACAUUAUGGGCAUGAACGUGGCCGACUACAUGUCCUACCUGAUGGAGGAGGACGAGGAGGCGUACAAGAGGCAGUUUUCUCGCUUCAUCAAGAACGGAGUUGCACCUGACACGGUAGAGGAAAUGUACAAGAAAGCACAUGCCGCCAUCAGAGCAAACCCUGUUCACGAAAAGAAACCUAAAAGAGAAGUCCAAAAGAAGAGGUGGAAUCGCUCCAAGUUGUCUCUGGCGCAAAGGAAGGACCGCGUCGCCCAGAAAAAAGCCAGCUUCUUACGAGCGCAAGAACGGGAAGCAGGGGACGGUUAGCGUUAGCUCCAUAUGCAACACUAGUAAAUUUGUUACAAACUCGACUCUUUGUUGUGUCUUCAGUGAUACUUGGAGGAAUGCUGGUGACAGUUUAUUCCUUCACAUUGGUCCCAUUGCACAUUUUACUUUACCCACUUAAUGACUCAAAAAGAAAGAAGGCAGGUGAUAUGAUAUUUAAAACAAAAAAACGCAAAAUUGUCAUUGUGCAAAAUCAUGCGUUAACAUCUUUGUCCACCCAGCAGCACACAACUUUCUGGGUAUCAUGGCGCAUUUUACAAGUUUACAAAGUUACUUCAUUAUCAGGUGUGUCUUUAGUGUCGAGCACACUGUAUAUACAGCGUUCAAUUCAUAAAGAUCUUCACUCGUGUGUAACAUUCAGCAGAUGAUUUCAGCAUGUUUUCUAUGGCACUGUGAUGGGUCAAACCCAAAAGUGAUACAGUACAUUUUCUCGUGGAAAAAUACAACAUUCACAAAUGACUACACAUCUCUGUGAUCAAGACGAUUGAUAUUCACCUUCUUUCGCAUCAUUAAUGACCAAGGCAUCAAAAGGAGGCAGUGUCACCAGGUGAUGAUUGUGCUUCUUCCUAGUAGAUUUGGCCACCUGAAAUGUCCCACCGGUUACUGACGGUCAUCAAGUAACCGUGAACAAUGCACAGUCCCAAACGCAAUACAUUUUUUUCACCCUGGCUUUGUCAAAAGUAAGCAUGCAAAAACUGUCACAUUAGACAUGGAUUCUUCAUAUCGUCAUACUCACUGAAAGCGAUAUAAAUUGAAAAAAAAAAAAAAAAACAGGAAAAGGUCCAACACAUGAUUGGAUAGUCUUCAAUACGCCUCCCAGCUAUGGUUUAUCCAGCAGUAAUAUUUUGUCCAAUUCUGUCAGUAUUCAUUUAAAGCAUCACUAGUCGGUUUUCCAGCUGCUGAAGCUAUGCUAAAUGGGGACAAGUAUUUGGACACCUGCCCACAAGACGGGGGUGGAAAUAUAACAAAACUAAAGCAACAAUGGAAAAGUUGGCAGUAAUUUUGCAAUGAGAAGAUGUCAUCUUAUGAGAAUAACGUAUGAUAUAAGGAAAUAUAACAUUUUAGUUGCAUAAAGUUGAAAUAUUAAAGUUAUUUUAAUUCGAAGUCACAAUAUGAGAAAUUAAAAGUCAAUUUUGGAACAUUAGGUUGGAGGAAAAGUUAUAAAAAAGUUGAAUUUGGGGGAAAAAAAUGGGAAAGAAAGCAAAAACUAAAUGUCAUACGCCAUUUUUCAGUACGUUUUCUUUUGUGGAAAAAGUUUGGACACCCCUGCUCUUAAGACUUGUAGGGAUUGACAGCACAUUUGUGAGGGCCUGGCUCACUCAGAUUUCAUUAUGAUUGCUGCACCGAGCAAAGACUGGCAGCUUGUUGGUUUGCAUGUGUAAAUGAUUCUUAUAUUUGUGUCAAUAGGGUAAUUAAGUGAGAGUGAUGUCUCAAUACUUAUGCCCAUAUAGUAUAUCAAGGCGGUAUAAUUUAAUUCAACAGCAUUGUUACCACCUCAGCUCCUCCUGGUCAUGAGUCCUUGGUGUGUGAGAUCUGUCUCCACAGCAGAGCCUUCAGGUUGUUGAGGAGAAGCGAAUGCUCCAUGUUCAUCUGCCCAGCGUCCCCCUUGAGGGCCAUGCAGGCAUACAGCUGCCUCUCCAGCUCUUCCCUCAGCGCAGACGGCGCCCCGUGCAGGAGGUAGUCCUUCAGCACGGUGCACGCUUUGGCCAAAUUUGGCCGCACCGGCUCCUCCCUGCACCGUUUAUCUGACAUGUCACAUGACGUCCAGCAGUCCACCCCGUACACACAGUCGGCGUCCGUGUCACACCUGAGCGCCCGCAUGCUGCGCCGAAACUGGCUUUCGGGCACCACGGUGCGGGGGUUGGUGAGACGCAGCUCGUGGCCGUCGGUGUAGCCGAAGUGCACCGCCGCCAGGUCGCAGAUGAGGAAGCUGCCGUAGGUCCCAUGGAAGAUGUCCUCCACCAGCUCCAGCAGGCCCAUGGAGAUCUUAGCCUUGCGGGGCCACGAGGGGGUGAACCACUGGUCCAUCGUGCGCUGUAAGCCGCUGGGCACCCAGGACACAAGCGGCCAGGGUGCGGAGAAACCAUAUAGCGGGGCAUGGGGGACACGUUCGGUCAUGUAGAGGUCGCCGCAGUAGCCAAGAAGACGGGGAGUGUGUCCACGCUCCUGAAGCAGCAGGCCAAGAAGCACCUGAAAGAACCACAAAAAAUGUACAGUUGGCCGGAACAAUUUAAAUAUUAAUGUAAAAAGAAAUCUUUGAAAAUAAAAAAAAUAUUUAUGUCAAACAAGGAUUUUAAAAUGAUAACCAUAACUGCCGUUUUAGUGCACUACUUUGUAGCAACCAGUUGAGGCGCUGUCCAUUCAGUAUGGGUGAUUGGCGAUACCAGAUUUGAUUUUUUUUUAAAUUCGAAACAAUACCGAUUACAUUUUUUUAAUAUAUUUUUUUCCCCCCGAUACUGAAGACAUUUUUGGCAAAGUACCAGACAUUUAACAACUUUAAUGUGCAUUUUUCCACAUUACAUGUCAUAAGAAAUGAUUUGUCUUUUUACACAACGUAAACUAAAGUUCCAUUGUUUAGUGUAAUUGCUACCAUUAGGGGAUAAAGAUGUCCGCUUAAAAAAAUCACAAUAAUCUUAUAAAGGUGAAAACUCUGCAAUCAAUCAAUAUCAUCUUCCGUAUCUGGUAUUUAUGAUCAAAACUGAAGUUGAUUACAAUAUUUAUGUACAAAAAAGUAAGCUGCACAGUGUAAAAAAUAGAGCAGUAUGUGAUUUGUGCUUGGAAUAUCACAAGUAGCUUAAUAGUAGUUUAGUACUACCCCAGCACCAGUCACCACUCUUCUGGUCGGUGGUCACGUGACAUGAAUGGAUUAGUUAUGUUCCUCGUGACAAUUUGAUCAAAUCCCCAUCUCUUCUUCUUACCUCAUCCAUCUGCAGGAGGGCCCACGCAGAGCGAGCUUCUGGCAGAGACACCUUUCCAUCUUUGUUGCCGUCCGCCACAGACAGGAUGACACUGACCAGACCGGCGAGAUUGGCCUGAUCUCCAAGCUUGGACUACAAGAGGUCAGAGAGACACAAAUGUCAGACGAAACAACCACUGGAGAAGAUGACAUCAUUACGAGCCGUUUAUUAGGGCGACAGCAUGUUUGUCACACUUAAAUGUUUCAGAUCACCAAACAAAUUGAAAUACUAGUCAGUGACAACACAACUCAACACAAAAUGACAAAAUGCAGUUUUUAAAUGAAACUUUUAUUAAGGGAGGAAAAAAAAUCCAAACCUACAUGGCCCUGUGUGAACAAGUGAUUGUCCCCCUCGUCCCCCCCAACCACCACCACCCCGCCCCCCACAAUCUGAACUGCAGGCCUCACUUGCCUCAGUUAAGGUCAGUGUUCAUGGCUGCAUGGCAGAGUUCCAACACGAAAACCACUCCUGAAAAGAACAUCAAGGCUCGGCUCAAUUUUGCCAGAAAACAUCUUGAUGAUCCCCAAGAGCUUUGAGAAAAUACUCUGGUCUGACUAGACAAAUGUUGGAACUUUUUGGAGGGUGUGUGUCCCAUUAUAUCUGGUGUGAAAGGAACGCCGCAUUUCAGAAAAAGAACAUCAUACCAACAGUAAAAUAUGGUGGUGGUAGUGUGAUGGUCUGGGGCUUUUUUUGCUGCUUCAGGACCUGGAAGACUUGCUGUGAUAAAUGGAACCAUGAAUUCUGCUGUCUACCAAAAAAUCCUGAAGGAGAAUGUACGGCCAUCUGUUCGUGACCUCGAACUCGCGUUCUGCAGCAGGACAAUGAUCCAAAACACACCAGCAAGUCCACCUCUGAAUGGCUGAAGAAAAACAAAAUGAAGACUUUGAAGUGACCUAGUGAAAGUCCUGACCUGAAUCCUACUGAGAUGCUGUGGCAUGACCUUAAAAAGGUGCCUCAUGCUGGAAAACCCUCCAAUGUGGCUGAAUGACAACAAUUCUGCAAAGUUGAGUGGGCCAAAAUUCCUCCACAGCGUUUUAAGAGACUCAUUGCAACGCUUGAUUGCAAUUGUUGCUGCUAAGGGUGGCCCAACCAGUUAUUAGGUUUAGGGGGCAAUCACUUUUCCACACAGGACCUUGGAGGUUUGGAUUAUCUUCUCCCUUACUAAAUAAAAGUUUCAUUUAAAAACUGAAUUUUGUGUUCAGUUGUGUUGUCAUUGAGUAAUAUUUACUGUAUGUUUGUUUGAUGAUCCGAAAUGUCUAAGUGUGACAAACAUGCAAAAAAAGAAAGAAAGAAAGAAAUCACACCACUGUACAUGCAGGAUGGAGGAGCUUAUUCAUUUGGUAUGAAUGCCAUUUUUUCAUUUUUACCUUGAGGUGAUUAAAGACCAUCUCUCUGAACUUCUCCACCGACGUGCCUCGAGUGGGAGUGUCGAACACGGGGGCCUCCCUCCGCGGCUCCAGCUCCUCGCCCAUCUCGUAGUGUACAACUCUGCCCAAAUUACAGCGAAUGAUUCCUUCAUGGUCUCCCCAGCUUCCAGUAUACACCUGAAAGACAGCGGCAUUCGUCUGGAGAAACCAUGGCUGAGCUAAAUGAAGAGUCGGUCGGAGGGUCUUCUACCUGGUUGUUUGGGAGGGCUGACAGACAUCUGCUCAUGUAGAAGGUCUCCUUGUCACACAGGCUGCUGCAGGCCGAGCCGUCGAUGAUUCCCUUCCUGUAUUUGUCACACUUGCAGGACGAGAAACACAGUAAGCAUGGCCACCUUAACUAACAGGUUGCAAUCGCUACAACGAGGUCAGACUGCAUCCUGAGAUCAAACCACGGUCUAACCAGAAUAACCGGAUUGGUGAUGCAGAAAUGAUGACAUCACUGGUGGAGCUCGACACCUUGCGGCGUGCAGGUCAGGAGACCAUCAACGUCACCCUCGGCUUCCUCAUCAAUACAUUUGUCAUCUUGGAGGUGUGUUUGGACUCGUUAUCGUGUUGGAAAACUGCCACGCUGCCCAGUUUCCCCAAGGGAGGGGAUCAUGAUCUGCUUCAGAAUGUCACCGUACGUGUUGGAGUUCAUGUUUCCCUCAAGGAGCCGCAACUCCCCAGUGCCGGCAGGACUCGUGCAGCCCCAGAGCAUGACGCUACCGUCAGGCAAGACACAAUUUGUACUCACUUGUGUUGCCAGCUGUUUCAGUGGAUAGUGAAUCUAUGUAAGCUGUACGCUGGCUAGUAGGGGUUUCAUGAGAUGGGAUGAUGCACGAGAUUGAGAGGAAACAAGAUUUUAACGUUAUUUUUUCUAAGUACAAUGAAAAAAUAUGGACAAACAAACUUUUUCUGAAUUUAAGAGUCACAAACAAUACUGGUGCGUUUUGAAAUGUUUAAAGACCUACAAAUGGAUGCGCUAAACGACAUUUUUUUUAGACCAAAUAAACCACUAUCGCUAUGAUUAUAUUAAAUAAUAAUAAUAAUAGAUCAUAAUAAUGCAAUAUUUCCUGUAAUAUGUCAUCUUUUACUCCGUAAAGUUGUGGAAUUGCCGUUAGUGACAUGUAUUUUAUCACAGGCAAUUCGUACUGUUUAACGUUUGUAGCAUUUCUUGAAAUGCUGGCUUUUCCACAGAAUUAAAGAGCAGCAUUUCUUUGGCGAUGCAUUAAACUACACGCUCUGUUCCGUUUUGUAUUUACUUUGCCGAUCAAAUGUCUCCUUGAGUGUUGACUGUUGGUGUGUUGUUUUUUUUCCCAGUUUGGAAAACUGGGUUAGGUGGAUAUGUUUAGGUGGGCAAGUUUGUUUUGUUUAAGUUGCCACCACUUCUGAACAAAUUCGGCAUUGUGGCUUGUUUGUGUUGAUGGGCUCACCUUGCUCAUUAUAAUAUUCCCACAUGGGGGCUGUGGCAUAUGGCUUUGCAAUAUUCUUUUUUGUUUUCUAAUUCCGACUACAUGCAUUGCUCCUCAUGAGGCUCCACUCUUUUGCUGUGUGUGUGCUAGAGGCCCCGCCUCCCCCCACCGAGACAAAGCGACUGUAUGACUGACAAGAGGUCUCACUCUGUCUCACAACGUCACAAGCCGCUGUCCUGUGAAGCGUCUCGGUGCUGAACCGAUGCACAGACUGAACCCUUUUCCAAAACAGACAUGCAUGCACAUGGCAGUGUAUGGGGUCUGGCAAAAAUCCAUCCAUCCAUCCAUUUUCUAUGCCGCUUGUCUCACUAGGGUCUCGGUCGGGCAAAAUCAUGGAGUUCAUUUUCCUUUAUCGUGUGAUUAAUUUAUUAUCGUGGCACAGUUUUUUCCUGAAAAAGAAAUCUUGUUACAGUUUGAUCUCAUGACACCCCUACCGACUAGUCUGAAGUAUACACAAGUUUCAUUUCCAUCAUAUCGUCCCUUGAGAAACACUGUGAUAAACAUGGGUACAAGGUACGCCGUGUACUCACUUUGGUGAGAUAUUACUGCAGCAAUGUCAUGAUUCUGUGACAACAUGCAGCCAGCACGCAGGCAGGGACCGUUUCUAGGCUGUGCUAAUAUUCCACUGUAUUAACAGAUCAUACCUGGGUCAUGCUAAUUCCAGUCUUUAUAGAUUACACACACACACACACACACAUGACCUUUGUUGUUGUUUUUGAAUGACAAAACAUGUAAUGAGGACUGAAAGGUGGGGGAAAACCACUGCAUCCGCAUUGACCCAUAUUCCUUUAAGAGCACUUUUGAGUGGUAACUGGAGACACACAGCUCCUGUGCAGAGCUGAUGAAUGGUGGGCCUCCAGGGAGGAGAGUGGGCGGGUAGCAGGAGAGAACAUGGAACAUCACAUGGUGUGACUAUUUGCUAUUCAAUAUACAGACAAUAUGACAACACAAAGGGCAUUCUUUGCAAGUGACUGUCCUGAUAAUCAUCAACAAAUUGAACAUAAAAUGUGCAAACACAUAAUGUUGACAUGUUAAAUAUGUAAAAGACUUCCCUGACACUACAUAGGGUACCUUCGGGGAAUACAAUGCCAGAAUGUGGAAAAACCUGUGGUUGCAUAGUGAAGACACUACAGGGCACAUGGGUGCAAGUAUGCAAAACAUCUCAAAACAAAAAGUGUUCGUGCAAACUGCUAUGUUUGCAAUUGUGUUUGGUAACUCGCCUUGUUAAUCCUCAUGACUUGUUUAGUGAAUUCUCGCCGCAAAAAGACCACUGAGUAUCAUGUUCGUUUGUUGCCGGGCAACCUGUUGCUCAGUCAGCGAUCACCAUGCUUUACUUUCACCUAGAACAUUUUCAACAUCGUUUUACUUUUUAAAAACAAUAUAUGCAUCUCGCUUAUUGGUUUUGGCUGAGAGAAGACUUUUUCUGUCAUGUCUUCAAUGCUGGGGAACUGCAUUGCAGAGGGAGCAGGCAAGCCUCCAACUGGGUCAAUCUUAUACUUCCCAAGAUUUUCAGCACUUUAAGAUUUUGAAUUAUUAACCUCCUUGGAUUAUAAAACCACAUUGUAAGUCCCCUGUACAUGCAGGUUAAACUGCCUCUAAUGUGUCAUCUGAUAUAUGAAGCGUAUUCGUCCAUCAACAUUCUUCAGGUAUACUGAAACCAUGCAGGAUGUUUACUGCCAACAGUCCUCCUGAUGUGGCACACCACAAACCCCAUUAUCACACACUGCCACUUUUAGAAAGACACAGAGCAACAUUACCUGGAAAUAGAAGGACUUCUUCACCCAGGCCCGUGGAAACAGCCCCUUCGCCAUCACAAAAAUAGAUCAUCUCAAUACGUGGACUUGGCUGAAGGAGACCGUCAUUCAAAAGCCACAGCAGGAGGCGUCUGCUAAUGAGUUGAAGAUGUCUCGCCUCGCUUGUAAAAUGUACAUUCACGCACGUACAUUAUUCCUGUUGAUUUUGUCCCAGUGUGCAAUGCUCUGUCUGCACGUUCGCGCUUCGCUCCAGCUGCAGCGGCUGUGUUUCCAGCAAAGCAACUUCUUAAUGCCUCCAGCAGAAAACAGCGCAGGCUCGGGUCAAUGCGCAGGCGCGGUGUGAAGCGUUGAAAAACGUUUGGUAGUUACAACAUUGUCAAUGAAACUGAGUCGAGUAUGUGUGUCAAAAUGCAUUCACCGGUGACACAUGGUAUGCUGUAAGGUAGCGUUAUAGUUCUAGAGUAAGUGACAG
Dunckerocampus dactyliophorus (ringed pipefish) is the source of this 9300-nucleotide RNA transcript. It is a transcript of the gene named ribosomal protein L5a, with no coding region annotated. The record is from RefSeq and is a predicted model, not a curated record. Lineage: Eukaryota; Metazoa; Chordata; Actinopteri; Syngnathiformes; Syngnathidae. The transcript is spliced from 11 exons.